AGAGUUUGAUCAUGGCUCAGAUUGAACGCUGGCGGCAGGCUUAACACAUGCAAGUCGAGCGGGGGAGAUUGCUUCGGUAAUUGACCUAGCGGCGGACGGGUGAGUAAUACUUAGGAAUCUGCCUAUUAAUGGGGGACAACAUCUCGAAAGGGAUGCUAAUACCGCAUACGCCCUACGGGGGAAAGCAGGGGAUCACUUGUGACCUUGCGUUACUAGAUGAGCCUAAGUCGGAUUAGCUAGUUGGUGGGGUAAAGGCCUACCAAGGCGACGAUCUGUAGCGGGUCUGAGAGGAUGAUCCGCCACACUGGGACUGAGACACGGCCCAGACUCCUACGGGAGGCAGCAGUGGGGAAUAUUGGACAAUGGGGGGAACCCUGAUCCAGCCAUGCCGCGUGUGUGAAGAAGGCCUUAUGGUUGUAAAGCACUUUAAGCGAGGAGGAGGCUCCUGUAGUUAAUACCUACAGAGAGUGGACGUUACUCGCAGAAUAAGCACCGGCUAACUCUGUGCCAGCAGCCGCGGUAAUACAGAGGGUGCGAGCGUUAAUCGGAUUUACUGGGCGUAAAGCGUGCGUAGGCGGCUUUUUAAGUCGGAUGUGAAAUCCCCGAGCUUAACUUGGGAAUUGCAUUCGAUACUGGGAAGCUAGAGUAUGGGAGAGGAUGGUAGAAUUCCAGGUGUAGCGGUGAAAUGCGUAGAGAUCUGGAGGAAUACCGAUGGCGAAGGCAGCCAUCUGGCCUAAUACUGACGCUGAGGUACGAAAGCAUGGGGAGCAAACAGGAUUAGAUACCCCGGUAGUCCAA
RNAcentral lists this ribosomal RNA (798 nucleotides) under uncultured bacterium. RNAcentral describes it as "bacterial SSU rRNA". It matches the Rfam family "Bacterial small subunit ribosomal RNA", at positions 8 to 798 of the family's 1533-position model. The record is from RNAcentral.